CACUUGCCCUUAGAGUUUGAUCCUGGCUCAGGAUGAACGCUAGCUACAGGCUUAACACAUGCAAGUCGAGGGGAAACGAUAGAGAAAGCUUGCUUUUUCUAGGCGUCGACCGGCGCACGGGUGAGUAACGCGUAUCCAACCUGCCCACCACUUGGGGAUAACCUUGCGAAAGUAAGACUAAUACCCAAUGAUAUCUCUAGAAGACAUCUGAAAGGGAUUAAAGAUUUAUCGGUGAUGGAUGGGGAUGCGUCUGAUUAGCUUGUUGGCGGGGUAACGGCCCACCAAGGCGACGAUCAGUAGGGGUUCUGAGAGGAAGGUCCCCCACAUUGGAACUGAGACACGGUCCAAACUCCUACGGGAGGCAGCAGUGAGGAAUAUUGGUCAAUGGGCGAGAGCCUGAACCAGCCAAGUAGCGUGCAGGAUGACGGCCCUAUGGGUUGUAAACUGCUUUUAUAAGGGAAUAAAGUGAGUCUCGUGAGACUUUUUGCAUGUACCUUAUGAAUAAGGACCGGCUAAUUCCGUGCCAGCAGCCGCGGUAAUACGGAAGGUCCGGGCGUUAUCCGGAUUUAUUGGGUUUAAAGGGAGCGUAGGCCGGAGAUUAAGCGUGUUGUGAAAUGUAGAUGCUCAACAUCUGCACUGCAGCGCGAACUGGUUUCCUUGAGUACGCACAAAGUGGGCGGAAUUCGUGGUGUAGCGGUGAAAUGCUUAGAUAUCACGAAGAACUCCGAUUGCGAAGGCAGCUCACUGGAGCGCAACUGACGCUGAAGCUCGAAAGUGCGGGUAUCGAACAGGAUUAGAUACCCUGGUAGUCCGCACGGUAAACGAUGGAUGCCCGCUGUUGGUCUGAAUAGGUCAGCGGCCAAGCGAAAGCAUUAAGCAUCCCACCUGGGGAGUACGCCGGCAACGGUGAAACUCAAAUGAAUUGACGG
RNAcentral lists this ribosomal RNA (929 nucleotides) under uncultured bacterium. Its description in RNAcentral is "bacterial SSU rRNA". It matches the Rfam family "Bacterial small subunit ribosomal RNA", at positions 1 to 916 of the family's 1533-position model. The record is from RNAcentral.